UACGUAGGAUGCAAGCGUUGUCCGGAAUUAUUGGGCGUAAAGAGCGCGCAGGCGGUUUGACAAGUCAGAUGUGAAAGAGGCCGGCUUAACCGGCAAGGGUCAUUUGAAACUGUCAGACUAGAGUACAGCAGAGGAUAGCGGAAUUCCCGGUGUAGUGGUGAAAUGCGUAGAUAUCGGGAGGAACACCAGUGGCGAAGGCGGCUAUCUGGCUGAUACUGACGCUGAGGCGCGAAAGCCAGGGGAGCGAACGGG
RNAcentral lists this ribosomal RNA (252 nucleotides) under uncultured bacterium. RNAcentral's name for it is "partial 16S ribosomal RNA". It matches the Rfam family "Bacterial small subunit ribosomal RNA", at positions 524 to 776 of the family's 1533-position model. The record is from RNAcentral.